Molecule: ribosomal RNA, 253 nt
Filed under: uncultured bacterium
Lineage: Bacteria
Description: partial 16S ribosomal RNA
Rfam family: Bacterial small subunit ribosomal RNA
Source: RNAcentral
UACGUAGGUGGCAAGCGUUGUCCGGAUUUACUGGGCGUAAAGCGCGCGCAGGCGGCCGGCUAAGUCCGGUGUGAAAUCUCCCGGCUCAACUGGGAGGAGUCAUUGGAUACUGGUCGGCUCGAGGGAGGCAGAGGAGAGUGGAAUUCCCGGUGUAGUGGUGGAAUGCGUAGAUAUCGGGAGGAACACCAGCGGCGAAGGCGGCUCUCUGGGCCUUUCCUGACGCUGAGGCGCGAAAGCGUGGGGAGCAAACCGG